This 350-nucleotide RNase P RNA is filed under the name Anaerobacillus sp. HL2. RNAcentral describes it as "RNase P RNA component class B". It matches the Rfam family "Bacterial RNase P class B". Rfam says of the family: Ribonuclease P (RNase P) is a ubiquitous endoribonuclease, found in archaea, bacteria and eukarya as well as chloroplasts and mitochondria. Lineage: Bacteria; Bacillati; Bacillota; Bacilli; Caryophanales; Bacillaceae. The record is from RNAcentral.
GCGUUCAGGUAAUUGCUGCAUCAUUUGGAUGUUGAGGAAAGUCCAUGCCUCUAAUGGUCUGCGAUGACCGUAGUGUUCGUGCCUAGCGAAGUCAGUUAGGGUAGUUCGGUUUCGAGCUACCGGCAGGGGAACGCACCUAAAGCCUUCUAGAUGGUGUUACUACCUUGAAAGUGCCACAGUGACGGAGUCUAAGCUUGGAAAACGAGUAGAGUGGAACGCGGUAAACCCCACGAGCGAGAAACCUAAACUUUGGUAGGGGAACCUUCUAAGGGAAUUAAAACUAAGAGAAGAAGGACAAGGAGUUAGCUUCUUGUAGAUAGAUGAAUUACUUUAGUACGAGGUCAAUGGCA